RNAcentral lists this ribosomal RNA (1011 nucleotides) under Aurantiochytrium limacinum. RNAcentral's name for it is "partial Bacterial large subunit ribosomal RNA". It matches the Rfam family "Bacterial large subunit ribosomal RNA", at positions 1 to 1024 of the family's 2925-position model. Lineage: Eukaryota; Bigyra; Thraustochytrida; Thraustochytriidae. The record is from RNAcentral.
GAGAGUAAGGGCGCACGGUGGAUGCCUUGGCACUAGGAGCCGAAGAAGGACGUGACAAACGACGAUAUGCCUUGGGUAGCUGUAAGUAAGCGAUGAUCCAGGGAUUUCCGAAUGGGGGAACCCAACAGGUACUACCUGUUACCCGCAUCUGUUAAGGAUGUGAGGAGGAAGACGCAGUGAACUGAAACAUCUAAGUAGCUGCAGGAAGAGAAAGCAAAAGCGAUUGCCUUAGUAGCGGCGAGCGAAACGGCAGGAGGGCAAACCGAAGAGUUUACUCUUCGGGGUUGUAGGACUGCAAUGUGGACUCAAAGAUUAUAGAAGAAUGAUUUGGGAAGAUCAGCCAAAGAGAGUAAUAGCCUCGUAUUUAAAAUAGUCUUUGUACCUAGCAGUAUCCUGAGUACGGCGGGACACGUGAAAUCCCGUCGGAAUCUGGGAGGACCAUCUCCCAACCCUAAAUACUCCCUAGUGACCGAUAGUGAACCAGUACCGUGAGGGAAAGGUGAAAAGUACCCCGGGAGGGGAGUGAAAUAGUACCUGAAACCAUGUGCCUACAAACCGUUGGAGCCUCCUUGUGGGGUGACAGCGUGCCUUUUGAAGAAUGAGCCUGCGAGUCAGCGGCAUGUCGCGAGGUUAACCCGUGUGGGGUAGUCGUAGCGAAAGCGAAUCCUAACGAGGGUGUUUUUUAGUGGCAUGUUCUGGACCCGAAGCGGGGUGAUCUACCCAUGGCCAGUGUGAAGCAGCUGUAAGAGGUUGUGGAGGCGCGAACCCACGUAGGUUAAAAACUGCGGGGAUGAGCUGUGGGUAGGGGUGAAAGGCCAAUCAAACUGGGAGAUAGCUCGUACUCCCCGAAAUGCAUUUAGGUGCAGCGUUGCGUGGUUCUUGUUGGAGGUAGAGCACUGGAUGGUCUAGGGGGCUUAUCGGCUUACCGAAAUCAGCCAAACUCCGAAUGCUGGCAAGUGUAGCGUGGCAGUGAGACGGCGGGGGAUAAGCUUCGUCGUCGAGAGGGAAACA